UACGGAGGGUGCGAGCGUUGUCCGGAAUCACUGGGCGUAAAGGGCGCGUAGGCGGCCUCUUAAGGGUGCGGUGAAAGUCCGGGGCUCAACCCCGGAUCGGCCGUGCCGACUGCGAGGCUCGAGCACUGUAGAGGCGAGUGGAAUUCCGGGUGGAGUGGUGAAAUGCGUAGAUAUCCGGAGGAAUACCAAAGGCGAAGGCAGUGUCCUGGCUGGUAACUGACGCUCAGGUGCGAAAGCUAGGGGAGCGAACAGG
This 253-nucleotide ribosomal RNA is filed under the name uncultured bacterium. Its description in RNAcentral is "partial 16S ribosomal RNA". It matches the Rfam family "Bacterial small subunit ribosomal RNA", at positions 524 to 776 of the family's 1533-position model. The record is from RNAcentral.